This 824-nucleotide ribosomal RNA is filed under the name Acinetobacter bereziniae. RNAcentral's name for it is "bacterial SSU rRNA". It matches the Rfam family "Bacterial small subunit ribosomal RNA", at positions 97 to 914 of the family's 1533-position model. The record is from RNAcentral. Lineage: Bacteria; Pseudomonadati; Pseudomonadota; Gammaproteobacteria; Moraxellales; Moraxellaceae.
GGCGGACGGGUGAGUAAUACUUAGGAAUCUGCCUAUUAAUGGGGGACAACAUCUCGAAAGGGAUGCUAAUACCGCAUACGCCCUACGGGGGAAAGCAGGGGAUCACUUGUGACCUUGCGUUAAUAGAUGAGCCUAAGUCGGAUUAGCUAGUUGGUGGGGUAAAGGCCUACCAAGGCGACGAUCUGUAGCGGGUCUGAGAGGAUGAUCCGCCACACUGGGACUGAGACACGGCCCAGACUCCUACGGGAGGCAGCAGUGGGGAAUAUUGGACAAUGGGGGGAACCCUGAUCCAGCCAUGCCGCGUGUGUGAAGAAGGCCUUAUGGUUGUAAAGCACUUUAAGCGAGGAGGAGGCUCUUUUGGUUAAUACCCAAGAUGAGUGGACGUUACUCGCAGAAUAAGCACCGGCUAACUCUGUGCCAGCAGCCGCGGUAAUACAGAGGGUGCGAGCGUUAAUCGGAUUUACUGGGCGUAAAGCGUGCGUAGGCGGCUUUUUAAGUCGGAUGUGAAAUCCCCGAGCUUAACUUGGGAAUUGCAUUCGAUACUGGGAAGCUAGAGUAUGGGAGAGGAUGGUAGAAUUCCAGGUGUAGCGGUGAAAUGCGUAGAGAUCUGGAGGAAUACCGAUGGCGAAGGCAGCCAUCUGGCCUAAUACUGACGCUGAGGUACGAAAGCAUGGGGAGCAAACAGGAUUAGAUACCCUGGUAGUCCAUGCCGUAAACGAUGUCUACUAGCCGUUGGGGUCUUUGAGACUUUAGUGGCGCAGCUAACGCGAUAAGUAGACCGCCUGGGGAGUACGGUCGCAAGACUAAAACUCAAAUGAAUUGAC